Molecule: ribosomal RNA, 441 nt
Filed under: uncultured bacterium
Lineage: Bacteria
Description: partial 16S ribosomal RNA
Rfam family: Bacterial small subunit ribosomal RNA
Source: RNAcentral
CCUACGGGAGGCAGCAGUGGGGAAUAUUGCGCAAUGGGCGAAACCCUGACGCAGCAACGCCGCGUGAUUGAAGAAGGCCUUCGGAUUGUAAAGAUCUUUAAUCAGGGACGAAUUUUGACGGUACCCGAAACAUAAGCUCCGACUAACUACGUGCCAGCAGCCGCGGUAAUCCGUAGGGAGCAAGCGUUAUCCGGAUUUACUGGGUGUAAAGGGCGUGUAGGCGGGCAUGCAAGCCAGAAGUGAAAUCUGCGGGCAUAACCCGCAAACUGCCUUUGGAACUGAGUGGCUUGAGUGUUGGAGAGGCAGGUGGAAUGCCCAGUGUAGGGGUGAAAUGCGUAGAUAUUGGGAGGAACACCAGUGGCGAAGGCGGCCUGCUGGACAUUAACUGACGCUGAGGAGCGAAAGCGUGGGGAGCAAACAGGAUUAGAUACCCCUGUAGUC